AACGAACGCUGGCGGCAUGCCUAACACAUGCAAGUCGAACGAGAUCUUCGGGUCUAGUGGCGCACGGGUGCGUAACGUGUGGGAAUCUGCCCUUUGGUUCGGAAUAACAGUUGGAAACGACUGCUAAUACGGGAUGAUUACGAAAGUCCAAAGAUUUAUCGCAAGAGGAUGAGGCCGCGUAGGAUUAGCUAGGUGGUGUGGUAAAGGCGCACCAAGGCGACGAUCCUUAGCUGGUCUGAGAGGAUGAUCAGCCACACUGGGAUUGAGACACGGCCCAGACUCCUACGGGAGGCAGCAGUGGGGAAUAUUGGACAAUGGGCGAAAGCCUGAUCCAGCAAUGCCGCGUGAGUGAUGAAGGCCUUAGGGUUGUAAAGCUCUUUUACCCGGGAUGAUAAUGACAGUACCGGGAGAAUAAGCUCCGGCUAACUCCGUGCCAGCCGCCGCGGUAA
This 449-nucleotide ribosomal RNA is filed under the name uncultured bacterium. RNAcentral describes it as "partial 16S ribosomal RNA". It matches the Rfam family "Bacterial small subunit ribosomal RNA", at positions 29 to 523 of the family's 1533-position model. The record is from RNAcentral.